Molecule: RNA transcript, 6912 nt
Organism: Manduca sexta (tobacco hornworm)
Lineage: Eukaryota; Metazoa; Arthropoda; Insecta; Lepidoptera; Sphingidae
Gene: shaker
Gene name: potassium voltage-gated channel protein Shaker
Exons: 11
Source: RefSeq, a predicted model, not a curated record
CACUCGCGCGUCCGCCGUCGCCGCGCACCUACGUCCGCGCGCCCGGUACGAGCCCGUUACGUAACGCCAUCCGUCCCCGACAUCUGUUGAGUCCACCCAGCUCGCGGCACGCUUCCACCGCUGACCAUACCGCGCGCACAGUCAUGCCGCCCGCCGCGAGCACCGCAACAGAUGCCGUCGCCAUGGCUACCGUAGAACAUCCCAACGGCAACACGUAACAUGCACACCGAACAUCGACUGCCAAUACAUUCCUGCCAAAUUAUAUAAGUUUAGUCUUAAGAGUAGAUAAUAUCGAUGCUUAUCGCUUGCGAUGUGCGAGGUACGCGCGCGAAGAUUGCUAACAUCACCGUCCAUCGCUUUGCGAUCGCUUCCGCCAUUUCGAGAACCUCUAACGUACGUUUGAAAAGUUCCGUACGUGUCAGAUCCGAGACGCGACGACGUCAUAUCGCCCGCCGGGUGCUCUGUCUCCAAGAUUCGCGACAACAUCAGUUCGUGGGUGCUGUGGUGGCGUCAACGCCAUCUUCGGAUGGGCGCACCGCAGACACCAAAACCUAUCGAGGAGGAUGAGUGCGUGCCGCGCGUGGCCGUGGUAGACGCGAUCCGCGAGGCUCAACAAGAGCGCAAGCUGGAGCGACGUCGGGCUGCCGGUGGGCCGAGGCGACGGGGCCUCGAAAACGAACUCGAGGGCGAGCGGAGGCGCCCACGACGUAAGCCCAGGAAAAGGUCACUGCCAAAGCUCUGCUCCCAGGAAGAAGAAACUGCCCGUCCACCCCAGGGUGGGGUGGUCACAUUCGAGCCAAUUCAACACGACCAUGACUUUUGCGAGAGAGUAGUCAUUAAUGUAAGCGGGCUCAAAUUUGAGACUCAAUUACGUACACUGAACCAAUUCCCGGAAACACUACUUGGCGAUCCGUCACGACGGAUCCGCUACUUCGAUCCUUUAAGGAACGAAUACUUUUUCGACAGAAACCGCCCAUCUUUUGACGCCAUCCUGUAUUACUAUCAGAGCGGGGGGCGCCUCCGGCGCCCCGUCAAUGUUCCCCUCGAUGUCUUUUCCGAGGAGAUCAAGUUCUACGAACUUGGCGAACAGGCCACCAACAAAUUCCGUGAAGAUGAGGGCUUCAUAAAGGAGGAGGAGAAGCCUCUGCCCUCCAAUGAGCGCCAGCGCAAAAUCUGGCUGCUCUUCGAAUACCCGGAGAGCUCCCAGGCUGCACGCGUGGUUGCCAUCAUCUCGGUGUUCGUCAUCCUCCUGUCCAUCGUGAUCUUUUGUCUUGAGACGCUGCCGGAGUUUAAGCACUACAAAGUGUUCAACACCACCACCAACGGCACUAAAAUCGAGGAGGAUGAAGUUCCCGACAUCACCGACCCGUUCUUCCUCAUCGAGACCCUCUGCAUCAUCUGGUUCACAUUCGAGUUGAUAGUGCGGUUUUUGGCCUGUCCGAACAAGUUUAAUUUCUUUAGGGACGUGAUGAACAUUAUAGAUAUAAUAGCCAUUAUACCGUAUUUCAUCACGCUCGCAACCGUUGUUGCCGAAGAAGAGGACACUCUAAAUCUACCCCGUGCUCCGGUCUCGCCACAAGACAAAUCCACCAAUCAGGCCAUGAGUCUAGCGAUCCUACGGGUGAUCCGGCUCGUCCGAGUCUUCCGUAUCUUCAAACUGUCGCGCCACUCCAAGGGUCUACAGAUCUUGGGACGCACACUCAAAGCGUCUAUGCGCGAGCUCGGCCUGUUGAUAUUUUUCCUGUUCAUCGGGGUGGUAGUGUUCUCCAGCGCCGUAUUCUUUGCGGAUAAAGAUUGCCUCGAUACAAAUUUUUCCUCAAUACCCGACGCCUUUUGGUGGGCGGUCAUAACGAUGACCACCGUCGGCUAUGGAGACAUGAGGCCGGUCGGCGUGUGGGGAAAGAUCGUGGGCUCGCUGUGCGCGAUCGCCGGCGUGCUCACCAUCGCGUUGCCGGUGCCCGUCAUCGUGUCCAACUUCAACUACUUCUAUCAUCGUGAGACUGAUCAAGAAGAAAUGCAGUCGCAGAACUUCAACCACGUCACCAGCUGCCCUUACCUGCCCGGGACUAUGGGGGAGCCGUAUUUAAUUUCAGGACCGAUCCAGAAGAAAUCGUCGAUGAGCGACGACUCAUCCUCGGAGAUGAUGGAGCUAGACGAGACUGCUCUGAUGGCAGACCCAAACCUGGAGCAAAAUCUGCGGCGGCUGCGCGAGGAAGAGCGCCUGCUACUAGAACAACAAGCGGCUAUGGAGGCCGGCGCUUUCGAUGACAUAGCCGCUCUGGAGCAUCAGGACGCUUUACGUCUCAACCAUCUGCAGCAGGCGGAGGUGCAGAAGCAGCAGGCGGCGCAGGCAGCGCAGGCGGCGCGGCUAGCGCUGCGUCACGAGGGUACCGCGCCCCGCCGAGAGCGCCGCCGCGCCACCUGUACCGUCCGCGUCAAUAACCUCCAUGCCGCAGACGCCAUCGAGACUGACGUCUGACUAUUAGGCCAAGAAACGGAAAGCGGUCUGCGGAGGCAGCCGUAAACACCUGAUAAGGCGAGCCGGCGCGACUGCGUGCACGCAGUGUGGCGUGGCCGCCUGCCGGCCCGCUCCCCGCCACCCUGUCACGUGUGACGUGCACUGUACAACCCCGCCGACCCCGCCCUAUCCCCCCCUGAUCUACUCGACGGCCACUACCACCCGAACACGCCACGGCCCCCGACCGCCCCACCAAAAACCGAUUUGUGAAUAUUAAAACCACUAGAUGCUUAACUUACAAGAUUCCAAGCGACCCGUUAGUUAGAGUAUAAUGAUAAAUUAGCAAACAAGUGUUUUCGAAUACUAUAUAAAAUAAAAAAAAAUAAAAAAAAACUUUUUAAAUAUAUGCUUGUACUGCGAGCGCAACCCGCCGCGGCCCUGGCUCAUUUUGUAAAUAUUGAUUAUCGAAACAGCUUGAUUACUGCUUCAGACACUUUCUACAUUUUCGACACACGUGUAAUAAUAAUUAGGAUUGGUUCUUCGAGACAAAUAAUAAUCGAAAAUAGGCCUAUAGAAGUUCUCGUUGCGUUUGCGGGGGACGUCGCUUGAAAGCUUGACAAUAGAUUGUAAAUAAUUAGUGCGGCGGGAGGCGCACGCGCCGCAUGCUACUCAAGCCGCCUUGCCGCCUGCGGCCGUAGACACUGCCCAGACGUGACACACACAGGUCCUUGGGCCAGCAACUCGCGAGUCUCGACAGUGCAGCGCUCCGCUCCCGAGCUGCCCGACCGAUGCCGGUACUGCGGCCGGCCAGCCUGCACGGCGCACGCGCACGUACAGCGCAGCGCGCAAGGCACGGCACCGCACAAGUCUUCGCGCGUAACUUCAAAUAGCUCAGAUUACAUAGUUAUUGAAUGUGACGCGUUAGCUGGUUUACGUCGUAUGAUGUGCAGUCUCGGUGAAGAUAUGGCAUUUAAAACUUCAUAGUGAAAAAGUGAAUCAAUCUCGUGCAAUAGUUUAUAAGUUAUUUACUUUGUAUGAUGUGCGUGGGACAUUAUUAAUAUGAUGUAAUCGUUCUGUAUACAGUACGUCCAAUGCCCCUCGACCUUACCUGUUCUCGUGGAACCGUGCAACAGUCUCGGCGACACAUCGCAUUGUCAAUAGUAGUUGUUUAGAUGAAAUUGUAACGGAUUUAGUAUGCACCCGAACGGGGUUUUAUAGAAUCGUCAUUAAUGUUAUUUUGAACUUAAUUAAUUUAUCGAUGUUGAUUGACUGUAAGGUAAAAUCAAGGAAUGGUUGUGACUACACACGGUGACGUCAAUCAAAAGCAGGUGUUCGGUGAUUGAUCUCCGACAAGUUGUGUAUUAAUUUUUUGCAAUUAUCUCGUAAUGAGAAAUUUUUCCAUCUUUGAUUACUUUUAAAAUCUACAAAAGGUAAUCAUUACUAUUCUUAAUACCGAUGGCGACAAUAAUAUAUACAAGUGUGUUGGAUAGGAAAGUUUCCGUGUGUACGUAAAUAAGAUUACGCGUGUCUGCUGUAUGGAAAAUUAUAUUUUCGGCUAUUGCGAAUUAUUUAGCUUAAAAUUUUAUCAUUUAAACAUAUCUAGUAAGAAUUAAUCGAUGAUUGUGUAUGAGGCCGGUGACUAGCGUCACUUGCAUCUCUAUUAAUGUUCAACAUAAACAAGUUAUAGCUCAAAAACCUUGAAUAGAUAACUAUACUUAAAACUCUCACGGUUUUGCUUCGACACUGAUAAACAAUUUUAAGAUAGAAUUUCAGUAAUAAAGUCAAAAUAAUUAUAAUUAAAAUGCUAAUAUCUAAUAUACAAAAGUAGAACAUGCAUUAAGCCGGUCACCGUGGCCAGUUAUUCGUAACUUUGUUGUGUAAAUUUGAUUUGUUACGUAUAUAUUAGAUGUAGAUAUUACAUCCGAUACCUAAUGACUUCAUAUCAUUACAAAACAUGUCAUAGCGUUUAAUACAUCUAGGUGAAAAGACAUUAAUUAUAUUUAUGCCCUACGUAAUUAAUGUAGUGUAGUUUGUAAUUAUACUAUUCGUAGCGUUUAAGUCUAGCCCUUUUACUGGGCAUUUUCCUUUAUAGCUAAUUUAACCUCUUAAUUUCGCACGAAAAAAUAAAGAGGCAUAUCUUAUUUUAAUUUACUCUCCGGUCUUUAAAAACCAUUCAUCUCAUGUAAAAUAGUUCAAUGUUGGUUUGCCUCUUACAACAUACCUUGCAUAAGGGUUCUAUUAUUUAAUUAAAAUUAUUUGACUUCUAAUCUUACAGUAAGAAUUGUGAUUUCCAAUCUCAGCAUUCCUCAUAAUCUGAUAAAUCCGUCAGUGUAUAUAAAUAUAUGGUUAUGUACAUAAUAACAGGAUAUUGCUUUGCGUUGAAAUGUCCGUUAGUGUUAAUGUUAAUAGUUUACUAUAGCUUUUUUAAUAAAUACAAAAAAGUAUAUUAUCACGGUGACUAUUUCAAUAAUAAACAUUUCGCAAUAGCAAAUUAAUUUCGAUUAAUCAAAACAAUAUUCCGGUUUACAUACCCAGUAUGAUCUCAAUAACUAUGGUAUUAUUUUGUCAAUAACAUUAAAAGAUUACAUAUUCGCCACAUAGACUGGUAUUCACGAAACGGUCACUGUAUAAAAAAAACGCACCCGUAUGUAAUUUUUAGCAAAUGUCCCUCACUGUAAGACUUAUGUUAUUUAAUUGAGUAUUUGAGCGAAUAGGGCCAUCAUAAAGACGUACAUACACGAACACAAUUCAAGCCCGUCCCAAGCAAUUCGUUCGUUCGUACAUUUGUUUAGUACGCAAGUUACUGACGAAAAUAUGCAAAGGUUUACUUAUAAUUUCUUAAAAAAUCAGGUCUAUUUGAAACUUCAAACUACCAAUAUUUUCUAAUUCAAUUGUCUACCUAAUGUUGGUUUGAAAUAAAAUGUAUACUUUCGGAGGAGAUGUACGGAAUCAACAAUUUUAUUCGCAUUUUCGUUAUAAAAUUAUAGAAAAAAAUAUAUUUUUUAAACAAAGUAAGGAACAUAUUGUAGAAAUAUGAUGAUAUAUUUUUUUCUUUUUGUAAGUAUUAUAAAUUUCGAAUAACUUAUAAAAUGCGAUAAGCGCUCCGCUUUGCUGAGGAUAGCGCCUCAACCAAAUACCUACACGGCCAACGCGAGUACCAACUGCAAUCCCUAGGGUGGCGCACUGGCGUUAGAUGUUGUCUUUAUGUAGCUGCCAAGGUGGUCUAUGCUGAUUCUUACUUGUAACGUAAUAUUUACUAGUGUUUUUCAAAAAGUCUAACGAAUAUAUCAAUGGAAUCGGUCAAUUAGUUUAGAUUUAGAAUUAUUUGCCAAGUUGUUUAAAUCUUAAAUGUUUCUUGAUGUGUCGCCUAAAAUGAGAUAAUGAGGAAAAUGAUGUAAUUAAAACAAUGAAUACUUAAAGUUAAACAUAGCUGUGGAAUAAUCUGAAUAGAACGUAAUCACUGCUCAAUAUGUAAAAAAUAUCACAUAUUUAUGUAGUUAUUUAAUUUGUCACUAUAACGAUGGUAAAAUUAUAAUCGAUGUUAUGUUAAUUGUACAGCAUCUAGUAGAUCGUGUGUCGUUACAUUUUAUGUGAUCAUAGCGAGACAGUGGCCGAGGCUGUUGCUGGAAUAUAUUAAGUGUCAAUGUUAUAUAUUAAAGCAAACAAAGAAAGUGUUAGUUUGACGAUAUGGUUAAGCACGCGGGUCCUGUUGGAUGGUUUUAUGGUAUGACUACAUUUCGAUAGUACAGUGCAAAACAUAGUUAUGGCAAAACGGACCUAGGUAUGUUAAUUUAGUGAAACAAUGAACACUCUUUGACAGUUUCUUGAAACAGUUAAGACAGUUGAAAAGUAAAAUGGACAGUGUCAGGACUUGAGCAGCCGAAGACAUAAGUAUAAAUGUGGACUGUAUCCUAAAAAGUCAAGACUUUCUUAUUAAUCCAGUAGUCAUGUUGUAAGUUGUGUGUAUUGUACUAUCGGAAAAUUCAAUGCAUUUGUAGGGUAUAUGACGAAGACGUUGGCAUUUCAUGUAAUAUAUUAUGUCUGUCGCUAAAACAAAACAGAAAAUAGCAAAAAAAUGUAUUUUCAUUGUUUUUUCUACACGACUUACAUUAAUUUUCUUAGAUUUUAAUUUAUUCUUAUAUUCUUUUAUAACGUUUUUGUAUGAUAUAUUAUGUAAUUAUUUUAUUUUAUUGAAAUCACCAGUUUCUAGUCAUGUUAAUAUUCUAUUAGUAUAACACCAUGUAGGAAGAUAUAGACAAUGGUCAUACAAUAGCACAGCGUGGACUGAGGUCGGUUAAAUUUAACGUAAAUAUUUUUUAUCAGAUACUGUUUGGGAACAGAACGUUUCUACCUAAUUAUUUGAUUUAAGUAGGACUGCCGCCUGCUGCUCCCAUGCUAUUGUAUUUCCAGUCCACAAACUCUGUGUCUGUUAUACUUAUAGAUUAUAAAUAAAA